AUUUGUUUUUGUGUGCACAAUAAUAUAAAAGACAAUUGUUGCUUUUAUUUCAUUUGAAAUUUAUUUCUCUACACAGAAAUACCAUAACAUAUGUACAAAUAUAAGAAUAAUGUUUCAGAAUAAAUGUUUUUUUUUCCUAAGCACUGAAAAUUUCAAGAAUAUUUAUUUUUUUCUCUUGUAGUACACUAUGCAUUUUUUGGUAAUUUAUUAAUUAUUUAAAUUUCAAUUAAUUGUAGAAUCGAAUUUUUCCUGUGUUUCAACUAUAUUAGUCCAACCACUAUAAACAACUCUCAUUUGAAAAUAGAAUGUUUACGAUCGGGGGCGUGUUUGUUUAAAAAACACAAAGCAGAAGACAAUAAGCUGUGCGAAGCAAUAACAUCAGAUGUUAUACAUUAUCUGCUUGAGCAGACAUUGUAAUAUAAAGCAAAGUUGUUUAAAGCAAUAAUGAUUUGAUUUAAAAAAAUAAUAAUAAUAAAAAUAUAACUAAUUUUCUUGGUGACAGAAGUGUAAUUGAAUUUGGAAUUUAAUACAGGUUAAGCACACUAUAAUACUUUGACACAGAACGUUAGCAAAAAAUAAUAUGUAAUAUGAAAACAUGUAUAAUAAUCGAAAGCCGGAGACAGAUGUAAACAACUGGAACGAAGUGAGACAUGGUCAUGUCGCUUCAUACUAACAAUCAGCUGGUAUGACAAUGUUGCAACACCGCCAUGUGGGGGGUGGGGAAGUGGGGUGCUGUAACUGCUCAUACAGCAAGCUUGCAAUGAUGUGCCUUGUACUAUAGCUAUGGUCAGGUGGUUUGUCCAUACAUUGUAACUAAUGCUAUUUUUGUCAGCAGCGCUCCGUCUUGUGUUCGUAAUUGUUUUGAAGUAAAUAUAUUGUCUUCAUUGAUUCGUAUUUUUAUAUUUAUAUAAUUAUAGUGGGUGGAAAGAGUAAGUUCUGAUACCAAUUGAUGUGUUUUAUGCAGUAAUUUUAUAUAUUACUGCAUUUUAUUAAUUUUUUUUAUAUUUUUUAUUUUAUUAUUAGUAAUUUUAUGCAGUAUUUUUAUUUUAUUCUGUUUGAUAAGAUCCUCGCACAGGCCAGUGGCCCAUGAGGACGGACAGAAUAAGGCCUAAAAGGGGAUCGGCCUCUCCUUUAAAAAUAAAAAAUAUAAUUUUCCUUGGUAUAAAAAAAAUAUAAUUUUUAAGUGCUAUUUCCAGUUUAUGUACUAUACUUCAUAUUAACACGUUCAUGGCGACGUGUAUCCUAUAAAAUGCACGCAAUCUUUCACAACUGAUGUUGUGUACCUGGUCAAGUACACACCGGGCUUUUGUAAAGUGCGUUGUGCGCUCGAUGGGAUACACAUUGCUGUGCACUUCCUUAUUGCUUUUUAUUCUUUACCUGUGUUGGAGAUUGUUAAAUUUGAUCUUGCGCUUAAUAAAUAAAUACCUCAGAUUAUCAUGUACCCCAUCGGGAGCAUAUUAUAUUAAUUUUUAAGGUAAAUGAAUUUUUUUUAAACCCCUAGGGGUACACGAAGAAACAAUAAAAAAAUAUUCAAAUAAUUUUUUUCUGAAAAAAUUGCAAAGCCUACAUACUUUUCUUGAUUAUACUUAACUUUCUUGUUUAAUCUAAAACACAUGGUAUUUGCCAUUAUUAUUGACAAAUUCUACGGCAAAUAAGCCAUCAUCGUGAAUGUGUUAAACAAAAUAAACCAUAUGAAACUAUAUUAUAGUUUCUGAAACCGGAAUAAAUUUUGAACAUUUUGCUGUAUUGUGAUUUUAAAUUUAUCUACCUAAUUAUUGUUCCUAGCUGUACGCCCAGAACCUUUUUAUUUUUUACAACCGGUUUCAUAACUUUGAAUUACAAGGACAAUCUUAAUUACUAACAUUUAGGAUUCAUAUUAAACGUAACAGUAUUCUCUAGUUAAUUGUGAAAAAUUAUACCAAAUAUGCAUAUGUUUACAUUAAACAAAGAUUGUUAUACACUUUAUAAAAAAAGUCUGCAAAUCAUCCAAAAAGAGCCUGUGAGUUAAAGGAAACCAACUGCCAGUAUGCUAUAGGAUCAUCUUAUUAAUCCGGUUCAGUCGGUCUCGUUCACUGCUGCGAUUCAUUCAUUUGAACCGGUCAGUACAGAGUUACUGAGCCUUCCCACUAAAGCGUGUUCAUAGUGUUGACCGAACAAAAUGAACGACUGAAUGUAACGACCGAGUGAACGAAAGGAUCUGUUUGUAAAAAAGUGUUCAAAUAGAAGAAGGAACAGUAUAUUGUACAGUAAAUUUAUAGAUACAUAACAAUAAAUUAAUGUAUUGUCUCAGGAAUCUAGUCAAUGUAAAUAGAUCUAUUAAAACUGAUAAAAAUGUAAAUGUAAGUUACCAGAUACAUUACUAAAUAUUUUAAAUGUUAAUACUUAUUAAUCAAUGGACUUGAAUGAUUGAUAUGCCUUUGAUUUAUCAUAUAAGUAAGGUUAUUCCCUUACAAAUGUUGUAAAUAAAUUACUAGAAAUUAAACUGACAUAUUGCUGGUUUGAAAAUAAUUUUUUGUUAUAAAUAACAAGAUAUUUUAUAUCCAACCGAUUAACUUCCACCACUUUUCACUUUCCCUAUUCCCCCCCCCCCCCCGUUGAGUUAUAUGAUUACGGUUUUAUUCUUAAUCAGUUAGCAGUGAACAAAACGAACAACUGAACAAUUUUGGGGACCUAGUGUAACUUAAAGCAUAAACUUUAUAGUUUUAGAUAGUUAGGUGAUGUUAGGUGAACUUAAUUAUAAUAUUGUAAGUUUUAACGAUUAUUAAAAAUAAUGUAUCUGAUUUGAAAAAAAUAUUAAAUUGAUUAAGUGAAUGGAUCUUUUGAAACACUUUGAUCCGAAUCACUAGUUCACUUGACUGGGUGUUUGAAUCGAACUGGUCAAAAACGAACGACACAUCUCUACUGGCCACUGCCACUGCGCGGCUAACCUCACAACAAAAUGCAAGCACCCUGGAUACGUCUAUGGCUACAUUAAUCUGUUAAAUUAAUAUUUUAUGCUUAGGCUGCGACACUUGUAUAUGUCUGCACACAAAAAUAUAAUGUAGUUAUAGAGCAGGAAAAGUAGCUGCAGUGUAAACAAAACUGUGUGAGCGAGACACGAUCCUCACAGCUGAUAAACAGAUACAAGAAGGUGCUGGUCCUACUCUCCACCACAACCCCCCCCCCCCUUCAGAACUACUGCUCUGAAAUUUGCUUCUGCGCAGGUUUCCUUGCAAGCGGUUUAUCUAUAGUAGGACUCAUUGAACAUUAACACCUCAUGAAGAUUGAAAUCUUUCAAGGACAUCACAUUUGGCAAUCAACUGGGUUUGUAAAUUUAUAAAAUUAUAUUUUUGUUUUCUCAUAAUUCUUUGAGGAGAUAGAUUUUCUCUCACCAGUUUCUUUGUACAAAAAUACCACAAGAGCAAUCUGUCUUGCGUCUAGUUGAAUCUGUGGUUUUUAUUACUUGAGUAUGAUAAGUGCUCUAUCUUAUUGGGUAAUAACUGUUCUGUUAGUCAAAAACACAAAUUAUGUAAUAAUUAAUUCGUUUUAUUAAAAGUUUAAUAAAAAAUUAAAUUAUUGGAUAACACAUUCAUUAUGUACUUACUGUCUGUUUGUUGUAUAUUUGGUAGUUUUUCAACGUUUCGAACAACUGAUUUGUAAGCUAAACAUAGUUUACUGCAAGAUUUAGUUGUGCUUUAUAUAAUGUAAAUUAUGGUACUAUGAAACUACAUGUAUUAUAAUAUUAAUAUUACAACAGUGGCAGUUUUGGGUUAUGUUAAUUUGGCAGAAGUGACUUGGCUAUUGAAUGAAUAUUUUUGUAAGUUCUACAUAUCAAUUAUUAAACACUUUUUUAGGGUUUUGCAUCUUACAACACGUUUCGCACAUGCAAUUUAGUCAACAGAGUCUGUGAUUCACUCAGUCACUGCAUAUGAUAAUUUGAUGUGUAUUUUAAAGUUUAACACCUUCACUGCGGCUCUAUACUAAGUGAUCUUGGCUAUUCUCAAUCUGGUUCUGCGCUGUAAGAUGUCUGCCACAGUUAACGUGUUAACAUAAUGAUUAUUCAUAAAGUAAUUUAAUAAUUCCUGUUACUAAUAAGGCAAAGUGCCUUAAACGAUUUAUUCAGAAGUGCCUGAUUAUGAAUAUUUAUCUUUAUUGUUUAAUAAAGUAAGUGUGAAAGUCAUUGUAUUUUAAUACAAAUGUUUUAUACAAUAUGAACAAUUAAAUGUAAAAUAUAUUUUAUUUGUACUGUUGUGUUUCAAGAAAGAAUAGAUAUCAA
Molecule: long non-coding RNA, 4255 nt
Filed under: Homalodisca vitripennis (glassy-winged sharpshooter)
Lineage: Eukaryota; Metazoa; Arthropoda; Insecta; Hemiptera; Cicadellidae
Description: uncharacterized LOC124365737
Source: RNAcentral